UACGGAGGGUGCGAGCGUUGUCCGGAAUCAUUGGGCGUAAAGGGCGCGUAGGUGGUGGGGUCAGUUCGUGGUGAAAGCGCGGGGCUCAACCCCGCGUCGGCCAUGAAUACUGCUUCACUUGAGCACUGUAGAGGCAGGCGGAAUUCCGGGUGUAGCGGUGGAAUGCGUAGAGAUCCGGAAGAACACCGGUGGCGAAGGCGGCCUGCUGGGCAGUGGCUGACACUGAGGCGCGACAGCGUGGGGAGCAAACAGG
RNAcentral lists this ribosomal RNA (253 nucleotides) under uncultured prokaryote. Its description in RNAcentral is "partial 16S ribosomal RNA". It matches the Rfam family "Bacterial small subunit ribosomal RNA", at positions 524 to 776 of the family's 1533-position model. The record is from RNAcentral.